UGGGGAAUUUUGGACAAUGGGCGAAAGCCUGAUCCAGCAAUGCCGCGUGUGUGAAGAAGGCCUUCGGGUUGUAAAGCACUUUUGUCCGGAAAGAAAUCCUUGGCUCUAAUACAGUCGGGGGAUGACGGUACCGGAAGAAUAAGCACCGGCUAACUACGUGCCAGCAGCCGCGGUAAUACGUAGGGUGCAAGCGUUAAUCGGAAUUACUGGGCGUAAAGCGUGCGCAGGCGGUUUGCUAAGACCGAUGUGAAAUCCCCGGGCUCAACCUGGGAACUGCAUUGGUGACUGGCAGGCUAGAGUAUGGCAGAGGGGAGUAGAAUUCCACGUGUAGCAGUGAAAAUGCGUAGAGAUGUGGAGGAAUACCGAUGGCGAAGGCAGCCCCCUGGGCCAAAUACUGACGCUCAUGCACGAAAAGCGUGGGGAGCAAAACAGGAUUAGAUACCCUGGUAGUCCACGCCCUAAAACGAUGUCAACUAGUUGUUGGGGGAUUCAUUUCCUUAGUAACGUAGCUAACGCGUGAAGUUGACCGCCUGGGGAGUACGGUCGCAAGAUUAAAAACUUAAAGGAAUUGACGGGGUCAUAGCUGUUUCCU
This 592-nucleotide ribosomal RNA is filed under the name uncultured bacterium. RNAcentral describes it as "partial 16S ribosomal RNA". It matches the Rfam family "Bacterial small subunit ribosomal RNA", at positions 355 to 1375 of the family's 1533-position model. The record is from RNAcentral.